Molecule: ribosomal RNA, 561 nt
Filed under: uncultured bacterium
Lineage: Bacteria
Description: partial 16S ribosomal RNA
Rfam family: Bacterial small subunit ribosomal RNA
Source: RNAcentral
UGGGGAAUCUUGCGCAAUGGGCGAAAGCCUGACGCAGCCAUGCCGCGUGAAUGAUGAAGGUCUUAGGAUUGUAAAAUUCUUUCACCGGGGACGAUAAUGACGGUACCCGGAGAAGAAGCCCCGGCUAACUUCGUGCCAGCAGUCGCGGUAAUACGAAGGGGGCUAGCGUUGCUCGGAAUUACUGGGCGUAAAGGGAGCGUAGGCGGACAUUUAAGUCAGGGGUGAAAUCCCGGGGCUCAACCUCGGAAUUGCCUUUGAUACUGGGUGUCUUGAGUGUGAGAGAGGUAUGUGGAACUCCGAGUGUAGAGGUGAAAUUCGUAGAUAUUCGGAAGAACACCAGUGGCGAAGGCGACAUACUGGCUCAUUACUGACGCUGAGGCUCGAAAGCGUGGGGAGCAAACAGGAUUAGAUACCCUGGUAGUCCACGCCGUAAACGAUGAUUGCUAGUUGUCGGGAUGCAUGCAUUUCGGUGACGCAGCUAACGCAUUAAGCAAUCCGCCUGGGGAGUACGGUCGCAAGAUUAAAACCUCAAAGGAAUUGACGGGGUCAUAGCUGUUUCCU